UACAGAGGUCUCGAGCGUUGUUCGGAUUCAUUGGGCGUAAAGGGCGCGUAGGCGGCGGGGUAAGUCUGGUGUGAAAUCUCGGAGCUCAACUCCGAAAUUGCACUGGAUACCGCUCUGCUAGAGGGCUGGAGAGGAGAUCGGAAUUCACGGUGUAGCAGUGAAAUGCGUAGAUAUCGUGAGGAAGACCAGUGGCGAAGGCGGAUCUCUGGACAGCUCCUGACGCUGAGGCACGAAGGCCAGGGGAGCAAACGGG
This 253-nucleotide ribosomal RNA is filed under the name uncultured bacterium. Its description in RNAcentral is "partial 16S ribosomal RNA". It matches the Rfam family "Bacterial small subunit ribosomal RNA", at positions 524 to 776 of the family's 1533-position model. The record is from RNAcentral.